AAAUUGAAGAGUUUGAUCAUGGCUCAGAUUGAACGCUGGCGGCAGGCCUAACACAUGCAAGUCGAACGGUAGCACAGAGAGCUUGCUCUCGGGUGACGAGUGGCGGACGGGUGAGUAAUGUCUGGGAAACUGCCUGAUGGAGGGGGAUAACUACUGGAAACG
This 162-nucleotide ribosomal RNA is filed under the name Salmonella enterica subsp. enterica serovar Infantis. RNAcentral's name for it is "partial 16S ribosomal RNA". It matches the Rfam family "Bacterial small subunit ribosomal RNA", at positions 1 to 158 of the family's 1533-position model. RNAcentral also lists the same sequence under 8 other names. Lineage: Bacteria; Pseudomonadati; Pseudomonadota; Gammaproteobacteria; Enterobacterales; Enterobacteriaceae. The record is from RNAcentral.